Molecule: ribosomal RNA, 253 nt
Filed under: uncultured bacterium
Lineage: Bacteria
Description: partial 16S ribosomal RNA
Rfam family: Bacterial small subunit ribosomal RNA
Source: RNAcentral
UACGGAGGGGGCUAGCGUUGUUCGGAAUUACUGGGCGUAAAGCGCACGUAGGCGGCUUUGUAAGUUAGAGGUGAAAGCCCAGGGCUCAACCCUGGAAUUGCCUUUAAGACUGCAUCGCUUGAACAUCGGAGAGGUAAGUGGAAUUCCGAGUGUAGAGGUGAAAUUCGUAGAUAUUCGGAAGAACACCAGUGGCGAAGGCGACUUACUGGACGAUUGUUGACGCUGAGGCGCGAAAGCCAGGGGAGCAAACGGG